CUAAUCUAACGAAAACUGUAAUGAAAGCAGACUAAACCAAAACUAGUAUCUUUUUCUCUUUUCAGUUUUCACAUUGUUCUUCGUUAGCUCCGUCAGUCCUCUGUUUGACCCACGCACGCGUUUUCCCCUCUAAAUUUUACAGUCUUCCAUUUUCACUUUCUGUUGAAUCCACUGGUAAACACUUUCUUUGGAAACAAACAACACAUAGAGAGAAUAAUAUUAGAUUUUUUUUUUUAUUUCCUAUUUGUAUUUAUUUAAUAUUAAUGGUCAAAGAAUGGAGAAGGGUAGUAGAGAAAGAGAAUGGAUGUUGUAAAGAAAGCGUGUAACCUACAGUGAUGAUAGUGUAAAGUGUAAACGAACCCGAAGACAAGGCCGGCUCCUUUACAAGCCCUGUUCUGUUUCACUGCCACCAAUUCUCUUUCUUUCUUUAUUUUCUUUACUCUUUCUCGCACCACUACCAAGCAAAGCAAUUUAUGCCUUACCUAAGAGAGAUUGUCUUGUUUAUUUUAUCUCUUGUUUAUAUUUAAUCCUCUCUGUUAUUGUUAUUGGUUGUUUCCACUACUUGGAUUCCUUUGCUUUGUCCUUUGACCCUUCGCUUACAAGAAGAGAAGCUAUACCCACCAGAGUUAUUCUGGUUCUUGUGAUGGGAUUUUUGUGAAAGAGAAUAAAGACUUGAGUUUUAGAGGAUGGGAUUUUGAUCGAGUUUGUUUGGAUGCAUCUACGAGUUUUGAGGAUUUGAAGAAAAGGAAAGACUUUUGUUUUUGUUUAAACUGAUUUUGAGGAGAUGGGUUGCUUUCCUUGUUUUGAUUCGAGGGAAGAAGAGACUCUAAAUCCACGGAAGGAAUCCGAUGAUCGAAAGCAAAGCUUGCCCACCGAGUCUUCUAACAUUUCCAAAUUAUCCUCUGGUGCUGACAGGCUUGGAUCAAGAAGCAAUGGAAGGUCAAAAAGAGAAUUGCCAGUUGCUAAGGAUGGAUUAACUGGUGGCAACAUCGCAGCUCAAACAUUUACUUUCCGUGAGCUUGCAGCUGCAACAAAGAAUUUUAGGCCAGAGUCUUUCUUAGGAGAAGGGGGGUUUGGACGUGUAUAUAAAGGGCUUCUUGAGAGCACUGGUCAGGUAAUUCUCUGGGUUAUUUCAUUAUCAGACAUAUCAUCCCCAAUACUAUACAUUUCCCUUUUUAUCAAUGAAUAUAUCUUUGCCCGACUCAAAAGAGCAAGUAGAUCAAGAAUCUUAAAUCUGAACUCAUACUGAUUUUGCAAAGCAUAGCAUUUAAAGGAAAAGUAUAAUGGUGCAUUUUUCACUCUGUCUAAUGUAUUUCAUUCCCAAUUUUAAUGUCAAUCUUAAGUUAUAGAUGUGUUUGCUUUGGCAUCUUGCUAACAUCUCUUUGGAAUGAAAGAUAUGAUGAGGACUUGAGGAUUUGUCUCAGUUUACGGCAGCCCUUGAACACAAAGCUUCAGUAAAAAAGAAUGUCAGCAUGAAACCAUCAGUGAUGUAAACAUGGUUGUUAAACUCUUUCUACUUGUUUUAGUAUCCUAAAGUUCUUGAUCAAAUAUGACAUUUUUAUCCACCUAAGUUUCAUUACUGUAAAGUCACUAUGAGAUUGAGAAGCUAUUGAAUUUUUGGCUCCCUUUAUUCCAGUUUGUCAUUGAUGAUGACUUUUCUCUUUUCAAUUUUUAGACUAGUUAAAAGUAGUCCCAUAUUAGUACACUAAGCUUGUUGAUGCUUUGCACCUAUUAUGGGGUGUUGGUACUACAUGACAUUGCUAAUGUGUUGAAUUUCAAGAGAAGAGAGCAGCUGUGGACAAUUUUUGUAGCAAAAGAGUACUGUUGUGCUGGGCUCAAAUUUAUUAUGUCUCAUGGAAAGUUUGGGAGGCAUAGACUUUAAGAUUUGAAAUUCUUUUUCGUAUGUAUAGGGACCAGCAACUAAAUCUCUGUGGCUUGGGAAGUAGUUUCAUGGUUGAGGUGAUUUUGAUCUCUCUUAACUUUCUUUUUGUGUUACAGGUUGUUGCUGUUAAACAAUUGGAUAGAAAUGGCCUCCAGGGUAAUAGGGAAUUCCUGGUAGAGGUUCUCAUGCUCAGCCUUUUGCAUCAUCCUAAUCUUGUGAACCUGAUUGGCUAUUGUGCUGAUGGAGACCAAAGGCUUCUUGUUUACGAAUUUAUGCCCUUGGGAUCAUUAGAAGAUCACCUUCACGAUCUUCCACCUGAUAAGGAACCUCUUGAUUGGAACACAAGAAUGAGGAUAGCAGCAGGUGCUGCCAAAGGUUUGGAAUACCUGCAUGAUAAAGCAAAUCCACCUGUUAUAUACAGGGAUUUCAAGUCAUCCAACAUUUUACUUGAUGAAGGAUUUCACCCAAAGCUUUCUGACUUUGGGCUUGCCAAGCUUGGCCCUACUGGAGACAAGUCACAUGUUUCCACCAGAGUUAUGGGCACUUAUGGUUAUUGUGCUCCUGAAUAUGCCAUGACUGGACAAUUGACUGUUAAAUCUGAUGUUUACAGUUUUGGGGUAGUCUUCUUAGAGCUGAUUACUGGACGUAAAGCCAUUGACAGUACUCGACCACAUGUUGAACAGAACCUUGUCACAUGGGCUCGUCCCUUAUUCAAUGAUCGUAGGAAAUUUUCAAAAUUGGCAGAUCCACGAUUGCAGGGGCGUUAUCCCAUGAGGGGACUCUACCAGGCUCUAGCAGUGGCUUCCAUGUGCAUUCAGGAACAGGCUGCAGCACGUCCCCUCAUUGGGGAUGUGGUCACUGCUCUCUCUUAUUUGGCAAACCAGGCAUAUGAACCUAAUUCGGCUGCGCAUGGCUACCGUGGUUCUGGGGAUAAGGAUGAGAAAAGGAACAGAGAUGAGAGAGGUGGGCAGUUAUCAAAGAGUGAGGAAGGGGGAGGAUCCAGUCGCAGAUGGGACCUGGAUGGGUCUGAGAAAGAAGAUUCCCCGAAAGAAACUGCAAGAAUGUUAAACAGGGACUUAGAUAGAGAACGAGCUGUUGCUGAAGCUAAGAUGUGGGGAGAGAACUGGCGAGAAAAAAGACGACAAAGUGCUCAAGGUAGUUUCGAUGGCAGUAAUGGGUAGUACCCAGGCAUCUUUCCUCCAUCUUCUCUCUUUCUGACUUCAAACCAGGCUCAUGAAGAAGCAUUAAAAGCUAAGCUUGAGCUGGUCUACCCGCAUGUUCUCAUCUUUUUCAUUUGUAUCUUUCGUUUUCUUUGUCUCAAAUUCCUUUUUGUUGAAACAUAUAACCAGGUGAUUAUGAAGGAGAAAAAAACAUAAUUGAGAGUGUAAAUUAUCUGCUAGGAGAGCAAGAUAAGAACAAGACGUAUUUAUAAAAAUUUUGAGAGUAAACACGUCUGAGUCAUGUUCUGCUUGCUCUUAUAGGUUUCUUAUUAUGAGCCAAAAAACAUUUUCUGCUGCCUGUACUAUGUAGUCUUCUUCAAUGGCAUUUUACCAACCAAUCUAUGUUAUUUUAUCAGAUUAAUCGAUGCA
RNAcentral lists this unclassified non-coding RNA (3471 nucleotides) under Hevea brasiliensis (rubber tree). The record is from RNAcentral. Lineage: Eukaryota; Viridiplantae; Streptophyta; Magnoliopsida; Malpighiales; Euphorbiaceae.